AUUGAACGCUGGCGGCAGGCCUAACACAUGCAAGUCGAGCGGAUGAAGGGUGCUUGCUCCUGGAUUCAGCGGCGGACGGGCGAGUAAUGCCUAGGAAUAUGCCUGGUAGUGGGGGAUAACGUCCGGAAACGGGCGCUAAUACCGCAUACGUCCUGAGGGAGAAAGUGGGGGAUCUUCGGACCUCACGCUCUCAGAUGAGCCUAGGUCGGAUUAGCUAGUUGGUGGGGUAAAGGCCUACCAAGGCGACGAUCCGUAACUGGUCUGAGAGGAUGAUCAGUCACACUGGAACUGAGACACGGUCCAGACUCCUACGGGAGGCAGCAGUGGGGAAUAUUGGACAAUGGGCGAAAGCCUGAUCCAGCCAUGCCGCGUGUGUGAAGAAGGUCUUCGGAUUGUAAAGCACUUUAAGUUGGGAGGAAGGGCAGUAAGUUAAUACCUUGCUGUUUUGACGUUACCAACAGAAUAAGCACCGGCUAACUUCGUG
Molecule: ribosomal RNA, 484 nt
Filed under: uncultured bacterium
Lineage: Bacteria
Description: partial 16S ribosomal RNA
Rfam family: Bacterial small subunit ribosomal RNA
Source: RNAcentral